CCUGGAGGUCCUCUCCUCUGUGGUGUAGUGAUCAGUCACAGUCACGUAGCUUUCUGUUACCUGGAGGUCCUCUCCUCUGUGGUGUAGUGAGUAGUCACAUAGCUUUCUGUUACCCUGGAGGUCCACUCCUCUGGGGUGUAGUGAACAGUCACAGUCACGUAGCUUUCUGUUACCUGGAGGUCCUCUCCUCUGUGGUGUAGUGAUCAGUCACAGUCACGUAGCUUUCUGUUACCUGGAGGUCCUCUCCUCUGUGGUGUAGUGAUCAGUCACAGUCACGUAGCUUUCUGUUACCUGGAGGUCCUCUCCUCUGUGGUGUAGUGAGUAGUCACAUAGCUUUCUGUUACCUGGAGGUCCUCUCCUCUGUGGUGUAGUGAGUAGUCACGUAGCUUUCUGUUAUCCUGGAGGUCCUCUCCUCUGUGGUGUAGUGAGUAGUCAGUCACAUAGCUUUCUGUUACCCUGGAGGUCCUCUCCUCUGUGGUGUAGUGAGCAGUCACAGUCACAUAGCUUUCUGUUACCCUGGAGGUCCACUCCUCUGUGGUGUAGUGAGCAGUCACAGUCACGUAGCUUUCUGUUAUCCUGGAGGUCCUCUCCUCUGUGGUGUAGUGAGUAGUCACAUAGCUUUCUGUUAUCCUGGAGGUCCACUCCUCUGUGGUGUAGUGAACAGUCACAGUCACGUAGCUUUCUGUUACCCUGGAGGUCCACUCCUCUGUGGUGUAGUGAGCAGUCACAGUCACGUAGCUUUCUGUUACCCUGGAGGUCCUCUCCUCUGUGGUGUAGUGAUCAGUCACAGUCACGUAGCUUUCUGUUACCUGGAGGCCCUCUCCUCUGUGGUGUAGUGAGUAGUCACAUAGCUUUCUGUUACCCUGGAGGUCCACUCCUCUGUGGUGUAGUGAGCAGUCACAGUCACGUAGCUUUCUGUUACCCUGGAGGGCCACUCCUCUGUGGUGUAGUGAGUAGUCAGUCACGUAGCUUUCUGUUACCCUGGAGGUCCACUCCUCUGUGGUGUAGUGAGUAGUCAGUCACAUAGCUUUCUGUUACCCUGGAGGGCCACUCCUCUGUGGUGUAGUGAGUAGUCAGUCACAUAGCUUUCUGUUACCCUGGAGGUCCUCUCCUCUGUGGUGUAGUGAGCAGUCACAGUCACAUAGCUUUCUGUUACCCUGGAGGUCCUCUCCUCUGUGGUGUAGUGAGCAGUCACAGUCACAUAGCUUUCUGUUACCCUGGAGGUCCACUCCUCUGUGGUGUAGUGAGCAGUCACAGUCACGUAGCUUUCUGUUAUCCUGGAGGUCCUCUCCUCUGUGGUGUAGUGAGUAGUCACAUAGCUUUCUGUUACCUGGAGGUCCACUCCUCUGUGGUGUAGUGAGCAGUCACAGUCACGUAGCUUUCUGUUAUCCUGGAGGUCCUCUCCUCUGUGGUGUAGUGAGUAGUCACAUUGCUUUCUGUUACCCUGGAGGCCCACUCCUCUGUGGUGUAGUGAACAGUCACAUUGCUUUCUGUUACCCUGGAGGUCCUCUCCUCUGUGGUGUAGUGAGUAGUCACGUAGCUUUCUGUUACCCUGGAGGUCCUCUCCUCUGUGGUGUAGUGAUCAGUCACGUAGCUUUCCGUUACCCUGGAGGCCCACUCCGCUGUGGUGUAGUGAGUAGUCACAUAGAUUUCUGUUAUCCUGGAGGGCCACUCCUCUGUGGUGUAGUGAGUAGUCACAGUCACAUAGCUUUCCGUUACCCUGGAGGGCCACUCCUCUGUGGUGUAGUGAACAGUCAGUCACAUAGCUUUCUGUUACCUGGAGGUCCACUCCUCUGUGGUGUAGUGAGCAGUCACAGUCACAUAGCUUUCUGUUAUCCUGGAGGUCUUCUCCUCUGUGGUGUAGUGAGCAGUCAGUCAUGUAGCUUUCUGUUACCCUGGAGGUCCACUCCUCUGUGGUGUAGUGAGUAGUCACAUAGCUUUCUGUUACCUGGAGGUCCUCUCCUCUGUGGUGUAGUGAGCAGUCACAGUCACGUAGCUUUCUGUUACCCUGGAGGUCCUCUCCUCUGUGGUGUAGUGAGUAGUCAGUCACAUAGCUUUCUGUUACCCUGGAGGUCCACUCCUCUGUGGUGUAGUGAACAGUCACAGUCACGUAGCUUUCUGUUACCCUGGAGGUCCAGUCCUCUGUGGUGUAGUGAACAGUCACAGUCACGUAGCUUUCCGUUACCCUGGAGGUCCACCCGUCUGAGGUGAGGGCAACAGAGGUUGCCUUGGAUAAUUCUUAGACAAUUUUGCUGUUCAUAAAGACCUGGCACGAUCUUCAUAGUGAAGUGGAUGCUCCAGGGGAUUUCGUAGCACGACUCAAGCACUUUCACCAUAUUUUUAAACCCUUUGUUUUCCACAACAGAGUUGACCUCAUGUCUGCAGCGUUAAAACAUCCCAAUAGAUUUGGUGAUGACUUCAGCCCGGUCUGAUUCGGCAGCAAAGGGCUGCUUAAAUGCCGCGGUGAGAAGUUGUUGUCUCUUGGCUGAGUUGGCUCCCGUCACUGACACACCGGGGUGAUGACGCUUUAAAUGUGUGGCCAUGUUCCAUGUAUUUCCAUGAUCGUACGGCUCCACCCUUCUUCCGGCAUCAUAUUUGACCGGGAAGCCAAAAUGCUCCCAUACAUGAGACUUAAAUGAAGCGGGAGGCUUUUCCAGUUCUUCAGCUCCUCCCACUAGCCAUGUCUGUCACUGCUCUUUUUCUUCUUUGCUUUUUGCAAUGUGAGCCUCCAGGAUUGAUUAGUUGGGAUUCAACCCCGUUCACAUGAACAGUACAAACAACUGCUUUAAAAAAAUAAAUCAAAUCAACCUUCAGGCUUCAGAGUAAAACACGGCACACAUUUGUCUUGUCUUUAUCAUAUCACUGCAACUCUGCAAUUAUUACUUUCAAAAGUAACAGCGUCAGUGAAACUGUAUUUUACACUAUGAUGGUUAAACUUUGCAAUUGAUCAGCGGUUCACAUGCGUGGGGGGUGAUCCAUAUGGAUCAACUACGGUCCAUAACACCACUAGUUACACUACACCGUCCACUGCAAUACACACACACACACAGGAGAGGGCAGAGGGGGAGGAUAAAGAGAUGGAGAGAGAGAGGUAGGGAAGGACAGCAGGAGAGUGUAGAGGGAGAUAGAGUAGGGAGGAAAGGAGGCGGGGGAGGGAGGAAAUGGGGAGGGAUUGGGAGUGGAGUGUGGAGCGAGAGAGAGUGAAAGAGAGAGGGAGAGGAGGUCAGGUAGGGGUGAGCCUGUAGAGGAAGUGGAGACAAGAAAUAUUUGAGAAGGAAGAGAGGAGUCCAGGAUGAGAUGAAACACAGAAAAACAGGAUGAGAAACACACAUCCGUGAGAGGAAAAAGGAUGACGACACCGGGUGACCCAACAUAUAAAUCAUGACACACACAGGAGAGCAACAACCAAAAAUAAGUCUGUUCAGUUGUGUAAACUAGUGGAGGUUUAGCAACUGUGUACACCUCAACUCGCUCACUAAAUGACCUAAUCCUGUAUCAAAGUUAAAUAGAAAUAUAAUGUUACUAUCCAAACCCAAUACUUCAAAUAGUACAAAAGACAGAUUUGAUUUAUUAAGGUUACAGUUGAUCUAGUUACCAUCCAUGAGCCGGGGAUCCGUCCUGUAGUAUGUACACAUAGCAACAUAUCUCUGACAUUGAAAGAUGUAACCAAGACUCAAAGGACAUCCAGCUAGUUAGCUUUGGGAUAACUCCUUCACUACCCAGUCGAUAGUAUGACUAGUAGCUAGCUAGGCUACUACACUUGACUUACAUUUCACGGGCUGUGGGUUCGACUGUUUUCUCCUCGGCAUUCUUCCUCUUCUUUGUCUGCCUCGCUGUCCUGUCCGUCAGUCAGUCGCUGUUCCCGCUGUGGUCUGGUGUCUCAGUCAGCACGUCAAUCCCUUUACUCUGUCAUCUUCCUCUUCCUCCAACGGACAAAAGCAGAAGUAUCAGUGCCAUCGAUCAAACACACGAGUUAGCUAGCUAAAUAUGUGCGGGGAACUGGCUGGCUUAGUUUGCCAUUCUAAAUCGUUAGUCAAACCGAGAACAUCAUUAGCUAAGUAACUCUAUUAAAACACAUUGAGCUAUAGGAGAGAAAUUGGGCAGAUGAAAGCUAAUCCUCUAACGUUACCUAGCUAGCUAACGUUACAUAUAGCUCAACUAUCUAGCGUUCAUUAUUUAGGAGAAAACAAAUAGUAAAUUACGUCUAUACGUUUGAUGAAAUGCAAAGGCUACAUAGAUAUCAACUUAAGUUGUCGUUUAGAAAAACAACUACAACCUCUUACUCACUUCCUCGAAGGUCCAUUGUGUACAUACAGCAAUUUCCUGGAGCGUGUCGUCAGAGUCAUUCCAAACUACUUCCGGAUCUUGGGGCUUGUAGUUUUUCAAAUGUAGUCAGCGAACUUUGUACUGUUGCAAUUAUCACAACCACACACUACAGAGCCAACAAACGUUGACUUUUUUUUAAAAGAAAAAAUCAAAUGUAUUUUUUUUUUCAUUAGCCUCUCUGUGUAAUAUUAAUGUAAAGUUUAAGCUAAUUGUGCGCGCAAAUUACAGCACAUAUCCUAUCCUCUGCCGGUCACAGAGAUCAUUCAGUGGCAUCAUUUGAAAAAAUAAAAAAAUCUGUAUUUACCUGAUACUGUGUUUGACCACAAGGGGGAAUCACUGGUCGGGAGUUUUGUUUUGUUUGUUGCUCCUGAUAGAUGAGCAACUUGGACUGGAAGUUAGGAUAUUUGUAAUGUUAUGUUAUAGGUUACUGAUAGAGGAGCAGCAUGGAAACAGCUUUUAAGAAUCACAGGAGAUUAAGUUGUUUCCCUUUGACUGCCUAUGGAACAUAUGCGCUGCUUCUCCUAAUCCAAUUAUGUGUUUAUACAAAGCAAAUCAAAUUAUUUUUAUUUAUUUAUGUAUUUUUAUUAUUAUUCUUCUUUUUUUUAAAUACACUGGGGAAAAUAAGCGACACCUGGAGUGUGUGGAGACAAUCACAAGGACAGGUGAAACAGAUCAGGGCGAGACACCCAGAGUUACCUCUGCUGCAGACGAUAAGUUCAUUAGAGUUAACUGCACCUCCUUCAAGGCUGUUGGAAAAGCAUUCCAGAAAUUAGGCUUGUCACCAAAAGCACUCACAGACUUCUACAGAUGCACAAUCGAGAGCAUCCUGUCGGGCUGUAUCACCGCCUGGUACGGCAACUGCUCCGCCCUCAACCGUAAGGCUCUCCAGAGGGUAGUGAGGUCUGCACAACGCAUCACCGGGGGCAAACUACCUGCCCUCCAGGACACCUACACCACCCGAUGUUACAGGAAGGCCAUAAAGAUCAUCAAGGACAUCAACCACCCGAGCCACUGCCUGUUCACCCCGCUAACAUCCAGAAGGCGAGGUCAGUACAGGUGCAUCAAAGCUGGGACCGAGAGACUGAAAAACAGCUUCUAUCUCAAGGCCAUCAGACUGUUAAACAGCCACCACUAACAUUGAGUGGCUGCUGCCAACACACUGUCAUUGACUGACCCAACUCCAGCCACUUUAAUAAUGGGAAUUGAUGGGAAAUUAUGUAAAUAUAUCAUAUAGCCACUUUAAACAAUGCUACCUUAUAUAAAGUUACUUACCCUACAUUAUUCAUCUCAUAUGCAUACGUAUAUACUGUACUCUAUAUCAUCGACUGCAUCCUAUGUAAUACAUGUAUCACUAGCCACUUUAACUAUGCCACUUUGUUUACUUUGUCUACAUACUCAUCUCAUAUGUAUAUACUGUACUCGAUACCAUCUACUGUAUGCUGCCCUGUACCAUCACUCAUUCAUAUAUCCUUAUGUACAUAUUCUUUAUCCCCUUACACUGUGUAUAAGACAGUAGUUUUGGAAUUGUUAGUUAGAUUACUUGUUGGUUAUCACUGCAUUGUCGGAACUAGAAGCACAAGCAUUUCGCUACACUCGCAUUAACAUCUGCUAACCAUGUGUAUGUGACAAAUAAAAUUUGAUUUGAUUUGAUUUGA
Long non-coding RNA from Oncorhynchus keta (chum salmon), 5981 nucleotides. RefSeq lists it as uncharacterized. Lineage: Eukaryota; Metazoa; Chordata; Actinopteri; Salmoniformes; Salmonidae. The record is from RefSeq and is a predicted model, not a curated record. The transcript has 4 exons.